GAUGAACGCUGGCGGCGUGCCUAAUACAUGCAAGUCGAGCGAACAGAUAAGGAGCUUGCUCCUUUGACGUUAGCGGCGGACGGGUGAGUAACACGUGGGUAACCUACCUAUAAGACUGGAAUAACUCCGGGAAACCGGGGCUAAUGCCGGAUAACAUUUAGAACCGCAUGGUUCUAAAGUGAAAGAUGGUUUUGCUAUCACUUAUAGAUGGACCCGCGCCGUAUUAGCUAGUUGGUAAGGUAACGGCUUACCAAGGCAACGAUACGUAGCCGACCUGAGAGGGGGCUCGCCCAAGAGGAAAUUGAAACGCGGCCCAGACUCAAGGGGGGGGCAAGAGGGGGGAAUCUGCCGAAAGGGGCGAAAGCCGGCCGGAGAACCGCCGCGUGGGGAAUAAGGGUCUUGGGUGGGAAAAACUCUUUUAUGGGGGAAAAACAAAUGGGUAAGUACCUGGGGAGGUUGUGGGGGAACUAAAAAAAAAAGCCGGCGAAAAACGCG
RNAcentral lists this ribosomal RNA (495 nucleotides) under uncultured bacterium. RNAcentral describes it as "partial 16S ribosomal RNA". It matches the Rfam family "Bacterial small subunit ribosomal RNA", at positions 28 to 505 of the family's 1533-position model. The record is from RNAcentral.